AAAAAAGCAGAAAUAUAACUAUGAAACGGCAUAAAUCACUUGUAGUACAUUCACUUGCAGUCCAUAAAUGUAUGCAGAGGGUUAGCAAAAGUUAACAAUAAUUCACAGCUUCCUUUGGAAUUUGCCGAGCCUUCCUCCUUUCUAAUUCAAUGGAUGGUCAAUUUCAACCUAUCUUGUUUUCUCUAUACAAAUAAGCUGAAGAAUGUCUCCG
Molecule: unclassified non-coding RNA, 211 nt
Filed under: Hevea brasiliensis (rubber tree)
Lineage: Eukaryota; Viridiplantae; Streptophyta; Magnoliopsida; Malpighiales; Euphorbiaceae
Source: RNAcentral